CCUACGGGUGGCAGCAGUGAGGAAUAUUGGUCAAUGGACGAGAGUCUGAACCAGCCAAGUAGCGUGAAGGAUGACUGCCCUAUGGGUUGUAAACUUCUUUUAUAAAGGAAUAAAACGAGGCACGUGUGCCUUUUUGCAUGUACUUUAUGAAUAAGGAUCGGCUAACUCCGUGCCAGCAGCCGCGGUAAUACGGAGGAUCCGAGCGUUAUCCGGAUUUAUUGGGUUUAAAGGGUGCGUAGGCGGGCUGUUAAGUCAGCGGUCAAAUGUCGGGGCUCAACCCCGGCCUGCCGUUGAAACUGUGUCCCUUGAGUGCGCGAAGGGUAGGCGGAAUGCGUGGUGUAGCGGUGAAAUGCAUAGAUAUCACGCAGAACUCCGAUCGCGAAGGCAGCCUACCGGCGCGCAACUGACGCUCAUGCACGAAAGCGUGGGUAUCGAACAGGAUUAGAUACCCGAGUAGUC
RNAcentral lists this ribosomal RNA (459 nucleotides) under uncultured bacterium. Its description in RNAcentral is "partial 16S ribosomal RNA". It matches the Rfam family "Bacterial small subunit ribosomal RNA", at positions 338 to 795 of the family's 1533-position model. The record is from RNAcentral.